GAUGAACGCUGGCGGCGUGCCUAAUACAUGCAAGUCGAGCGAACAGACGAGGAGCUUGCUCCUCUGACGUUAGCGGCGGACGGGUGAGUAACACGUGGAUAACCUACCUAUAAGACUGGGAUAACUUCGGGAAACCGGAGCUAAUACCGGAUAAUAUAUUGAACCGCAUGGUUCAAUAGUGAAAGACGGUUUUGCUGUCACUUAUAGAUGGAUCCGCGCCGCAUUAGCUAGUUGGUAAGGUAACGGCUUACCAAGGCGACGAUGCGUAGCCGACCUGAGAGGGGGUUGGGCAACACGGGAACUGAGCAACGGUCCAGACUCCUAGGGGAGGCACAAGUAGGGAAUUUGCCGCAAGGGGCGAAAGCCUGACGGGACAACGCCGCGGGGGUGAGGAGGGUCUUCGGAUCGUAAAACUUUUUUAUUAGGGAAGAAAAAAUGUGUAAGUAACUAUGCACGUCUGGACGGUACCUAAUAAGAAAGCCACGGCUAACUACGU
Molecule: ribosomal RNA, 496 nt
Filed under: uncultured bacterium
Lineage: Bacteria
Description: partial 16S ribosomal RNA
Rfam family: Bacterial small subunit ribosomal RNA
Source: RNAcentral